UCCCUUGUGGCUCAGAUGGUAAAGAGUCUGCCUGCAAUGCAGGAGACCUAGGUUCAACCCCUGGGUUGGGAA
This 72-nucleotide transfer RNA is filed under the name Odocoileus virginianus texanus. It matches the Rfam family "tRNA". From Rfam's summary of the family: Transfer RNA (tRNA) molecules are approximately 80 nucleotides in length. Their secondary structure includes four short double-helical elements and three loops (D, anti-codon, and T loops). RNAcentral also lists the same sequence under 8 other names. The record is from Rfam by way of RNAcentral. Lineage: Eukaryota; Metazoa; Chordata; Mammalia; Artiodactyla; Cervidae.